RNAcentral lists this ribosomal RNA (250 nucleotides) under uncultured bacterium. RNAcentral's name for it is "partial 16S ribosomal RNA". It matches the Rfam family "Bacterial small subunit ribosomal RNA", at positions 524 to 773 of the family's 1533-position model. The record is from RNAcentral.
CACGUAGGGGGCGAGCGUUGUUCGGAAUUACUGGGCGUAAAGGGCAUGUAGGCGGCUCUGUAAGUCCGGCGUGGAAGCCCACGGCUCAACCGUGGGAUUGCGCUGGAAACUGCGGGGCUCGAAUCAUGGAGAGGGAGCUAGAAUUCCAGGUGUAGGGGUGAAAUCUGUAGAGAUCUGGAAGAAUACCAGUGGCGAAGGCGAGCUCCUGGCCAAUGAUUGACGCUGAGGUGCGAAAGUGUGGGGAUCAAAC